CUGUGCACAUAGACUCUGAGGACAGAGCUGAGAUUCCAUCAUUCCCCCGCUGACCCCUGCAUCUUCAUUUUCCCAUGUUCUUGGACCCUAAGCUUAUUUCAGGAGAGCAGCAAACAAUUUUGCCAUACAUUUAAAAACCAAAAUAAUUUUGAGUGAGUUUGGCCUUAAAAAAUAGUUACAAUCCCUAAACAUUUAGGAAUAUGAGACUAUAAAAACUAGGCUCCCAGUCCCAGCUUAGUUUUAACACUUACAAGCUUUAGCCUCCGGCUAUUGAAUAUAUUCCCAGCUGGUCAGGAUGUCUCUCUUAACAUUGCCUUGGCUCACUCAGAAUUUGAAGUAAUUAUCCAAUUAAUCAGAAAUUUCCCUAUGUCUGAUUAACCCAAUCCUUCAAACUGCCAGUUGGCUCUAUACCCAGAGAGCACUACUGUUUAUUCCAAAGUAGCAAUAAUUUAUUUUACUCUGUGUGUGCUUCCUGGGUCUAGGGAAGAAAUAUUUAUUAUAUUUGUGAGAGUGCUAACUCUGACACCAGAGCCUCUUUUCUACACUUUGCAACCAGACUCAGCAAACAUGCCUCCUUCCUGAGCCGCCAGCUCAGGUGGCCCAGACCGUGUACAGUCACCUUCUGUGCCCCGAGGACGUUAGGCCUCACAGAACCCACAGUCACACAGCCAUACCCUGCCAGGACCUUUGCAUUAGGAGCGAAACCAGGGAAGAGGCCCCUGCCACCCCAAGCCAGAGCUUCCAGUCACCCUAGUGUCUCCCACAACUAGGUGCAGAGUUCCUUGUUCAUAGUUAGGCCCAAAUUGUUUAUUCCUGAUUAGAUGUAAUGCUGUUCAUUAUUCAUCACAAGUGGUUUUGAUGAUGAUAAUUUUCAUGCUUGCAGUCAUUACUAAAUGUUCAGCUAAAGCCUAGUCUCGCAUGCAGCCCGUUCCUACGGCGUGCAGCCCGUUCACCUUCAGGUUAAUCUCACCAUAGCCAUUCCUACGGCGUGCAGCCUGUUCACCUUCAGGUUAAUCUCACCAUAGCCGUUCCUACAGCGUGCAGCCCGUUCACCUUCAGGUUAAUUCUCACCAUAGCCGUUCCUACGGCAUGCAGUCCGUUCACCUUCCAGGUUAAGGCAAGGAGUCUGAGUUUUCAGCAGUGGGACUAGUAUGUGUGUUGUUUUUCUUGCUGAGUGGCUCAGUGUGGUUAUCAGUGUAAUUUGAUAUUGCACUGUUGUGUUUCUGUCCCUGCCAUCUGCUAUCUGUCUGAGGGACAGAGGGUUGGUGAGGCCAGGCACAUGGUUUUGCACCGUAAUAUUACUUUACAUUCUUCCGCCUGUUCCAGAACUGGCCUCACUUUGUUUUGUGACUAUAGCCCCCAAAUUGAGUCCGUGUUCCAUCCGUCCAAACCUGAGAAUGUUAAGGGCUUGGUCUCCUUCCAGAGAGGAAGACUCUUCUUGCCCCAGACUGGCCCCUGGCUUGGGGAAGCCUGUGCAUAUAUUUGUAGCGCUGUUUAAGAAAAGCUGAGCAGUCCUGAGCACAGCUGGAGAAACGCAAAAGCAAUUUAAAGACCUGGCUGUCAACUAGAUUGCAAUGUCGCUUUUGAAGUCUGAGAUGUGAAUUGACAGCAGUUCUGAACACGAGUGGCUCAGGAGAGGCUUGACUAGAGAGUAGGAGGGCAGGACAGCGAGUGCCAUCUCUGCAGCGGCCAGAGAGCCAGGAGGACUGAAAGCGGAAGGAAGUGCAAUGUGGAACUGUGUCCCUUGGAGGAAACCUAAUGAAAUGCGUGGCAGCUUGUGAGAACUGUGAUAAAAAUGACUCCGAGGCCCAGAGUAAAGGUGGACAGCAACCAGGGGUAGGUGACAUGUGAGGAACCACACCCUGAACACAGGGGCAUGAUACAUAGGAAAUACAGGGGACUGCACUGCAGACUAAACCACAAAGCGAUGGUAAAGGGCCUCAACCACCCACCCUGGUGACAGGGAGCUUGCAGAGGAAGAUGCAGUAGUGAUACUUACUGCAGAGAUAUGAUUGUUGCCUUAGAAAAUAGUUCAGGACCCAAAAAGAUAGAAAAGUCUAGUUGAAGCCAAUAGCUCUUAAUAGAAAAACCACUGUGUAAUUGUAUCACGUAACCAUGACUGUAUUUAACAACUAGAAAGUAAAGGAACUUACGAUUAUGUGUUCUGGAAAUUGUAAUUACCAUGAAAUUUAACACAGUGACUAUUUACCGCCCCACCAUUGUAAGACAGUAUGGCUGGAACUUCAAGUAGUAUACAAAUAAGGGGACAGACUCUCUCUUCUUGAGGCUUGCAGAUAAUAAGCGUGACAAGACACGUACAAAUCACUCUGACAGGAAGUAGAACAUCUCCUCCAGAGAAGCUAGCGAAGUCUCAGGAGAGUUUAGGAGAGAGUUGCAGACUUAAGUGAGGUGACUGAUGUGGCAGAGUGCCAAAGGGGAGCAAACAGAGUGUCCCAGAAGCAAGCCUUAUCCAAGAGAAGGAAGAAUGUUGGAGGAAAUGGGGUGGGCAUGGGAAUGGUUUUUGAGGCAUUUCCCCUUAGAUGGAAAUGAGGGAUUUGUCAGAAGGCUCGAAGAAGUUCAAGGAAAAGCAUCAGGCCUAGAAAACCAAGACUAUACUGUUUGCACCUAAACAAAAAAGCACUUGGCCAUGGGCUCCAAAGCUGAACAGCAUCCCCUAUCCUCCCGCUUUCUGUUCAAGCUUUGGAGACACUCUGACCAGUUACUUUUCUACUAUGGUAAAAUACCAUGGCCAAGGCAACUCACAGAUGAGUUGAUUUGGGGCUAUGGUUCUAGAGGGUUAGAAUCCAGAUGGCAGAGCUAAAUCCGUCAGCAACAGGAAGAGCUGAGAGUCUACAUCUCAAACCACAGGGGAGACAAAGAGCACUAAUUCAAAACCAUAAAUCCUCUGAAACCUCAGAGCCUUCCUUCAGCAACACACUUCCUCCAUCAAGGUUUCGCCUCCUUAUUCUCCAAAACAGACAACUGGGGAUCAAGUAUUCAUAUGCCCAAGACUUACUGGGGACAUCUUAUUCAAAGCACCAGUCUCUAACUCUGGUCAUCCUUGCCAGCAAACCACAUUUCUCCUGGGAGAUAAGUCACAGUCUGAAACUAUUGUUCAAAUGACUUCUGCCUGAAAAAUGGACAACCAGAGAAAGAAAAACGACAUUUAUUAUUACCUGAGCAAAGAGGUCAGCCUGAAUUGGAAUCUCUUUGCACUGACACCUACAACAGUGGAACCUCACUGCCCUCCUAUCCUGGUUAAGAAGCCCCGCACAACCAGCAUCAGAAUGUGCUCCUGGCCAGUGACUGCCAACUAGAGGGAGGGAACCCAGAAGCCAGACUCACAGCGCCAUGUAAGGGACGUUUGUGCUCUAACACAUGCCUAAGUUGGAACCUGUUUGUCCUGUGACUCAGCCCCAGCAAUGGGAGCCGUACACUCAGCCAUCCUCAGUGCAUCUUCAUCACAGGCUUCCAUUCAAGGCUGAAGGGCUGCAUCCUGAAAAGGCAGCACUGCAACCUGUCUGUCCCCAGCAUCGUAUCCUCAUGCUCUAGUAUACCACUGCCACACUGAUGUGUGGCAGCCUCCUCUUUACUCCUCACCUUCCAUAGCUGGGGCUAUGGGCACCAGAGAGGAAUUGGAUCUGCUCUGGCACGUGCUCAACACAUGGGCUUAAUGUACCGCAGCCCAAGCCAGCUGAGUCAGACUGGUUGAGGAAGAGAGAGCUGAACUAACUACUGAAGAAAGGGGAAGGAAAACCAGCACCUCCUUCCAGGCCCCUUUCUGAUGUCCUACAGAGUGGUCAUGUGAAGGCUGACCUUAAUGUAGACAGAUGUGCAAGUGAAUACAUACAGAUAUAGAUAACAGAGAAUACCAUUUGAAUAAAAUAUAUGGACCAUACUAAAGUUGUGGUGAAUGGAAGAUAGCUUAGUUGGCAAAGUGCUUGCCAUGCACGCAUAAGGAGCUGAACAUGAACCCCAGAACCCACAUGAAAAACUUGAGCAUGGUAGUGCAUGCUUGUAAAUCCAGCCCUGGGGUUACAAAGACAGGCAGAUUCCCUGAGACACAGUGGCUGACUAGCCUAGCUUAGCCUACUUGGCAAGCUGCAGGCCAGAGGGAAACCUUGUCUCAGGAAAGAAGAUGGACAUCUCCUGAGGACACUGUGCUCCUCAUGCCUCAGCACACACACACAAACACACAUACGUGAACAGUAAACAAACACAUUUAAGGUACCGUUUCUCAACCUGAUAGCUAAAUUAAAAGCUAUAGAACAUCAAAAGGAGGACUUUAGUCUGCAGGCUCUGCUGCUUAUCCUCCUCAGUA
Molecule: long non-coding RNA, 4321 nt
Organism: Mus musculus (house mouse)
Lineage: Eukaryota; Metazoa; Chordata; Mammalia; Rodentia; Muridae
Product: predicted gene, 53285
Exons: 2
Source: RefSeq, a predicted model, not a curated record